UUCGGACUGGGAGCGUACACAGGUGCUGCAUGGCUGUCGUCAGCUCGUGUCGUGAGAUGUUGGGUUAAGUCCCGCAAUGAGCGCAACCCUGCUGCCAGUUGCCAACGGGUGAAGCCGGGCACUCUGGCGGGACUGCCAUCGACAAGAUGGAGGAAGGUGGGGAUGACGUCAAGUCAUCAUGCCCCUUAUGACCUGGGCUACAAACGUGAUACAAUGGCUGGAACAAAGGGAUGCGAAGCAGUGAUGUGGAGCGAAACCCAUAAAAACAGUCUCAGUUCGGAUUGAAGUCUGCAACUCGACUUCAUGAAGUCGGAAUCGCUAGUAAUCGCGGAUCAGAACGCCGCGGUGAAUACGUUCUCGGGGUUU
Molecule: ribosomal RNA, 366 nt
Filed under: uncultured Acholeplasma sp.
Lineage: Bacteria; Bacillati; Mycoplasmatota; Mollicutes; Acholeplasmatales; Acholeplasmataceae
Description: bacterial SSU rRNA
Rfam family: Bacterial small subunit ribosomal RNA
Source: RNAcentral